CACAGGUCUGCCGCUUCCCAGUGAUACUACUGGUUGCCUGGGCCAUCGAGUUGAGGGACAGUGAAGAGGGAUGGGCGGCCUUGUUCUGAGUUCUAGGCUGACCGCCCUGCGAGAAUGUGGAGUCAGAGCCACAACUGGGAGGGGAGGUGCAGUAGGCAGAAGAGGGAGCCCUUACUCUCACUCACCUGGCUGCGGCACGGGGCUGUGUCUCCAGCUUCAGGAGUCUUCACCCCUAUGGCAGAGAGGGCCACCCUUACUGUUUGCCUCCCACCUGGACCCCUUCUGGGCCAGGGUCAUCUCCAGGGACCAAGCCCCAGGGCCUUGGUUCUCUACCUGGGAGAGUGUCCAAAACCAGUCUCUGGGCUGCCACCGAGCUCACUAGCUUCCCCAGAUCCAGCGGCUGCUUCUCGCCUGGCUGUGGGAACAGGUCAGCAGCCUGCAGGACAGGCAGCCCGUUCCCCGCUGUCCCUCCUCUGCCCUGCUGUCCCCCAGCUCACCAGGCACAGUGCCACCUGCUGUGGGCUCAGGCCGUGCUUCGUCAGAAUGGGCUGCAGCGCCUCCUGCAGUCGCUUGGUGGGCUUGGCGGAGAUCCGCACCACGCGAUCCAGCGCCGCCAACUCGAGCCUGCACGGGACCCUAGCGCUGCGGAACCGCGGAGAGCCGACCCCUCCUCUCCCCCAACCCAUCCCGGACGAGGCCCAGGAGGGGGCGGAGCCUAAACUAGGGGGGGUGGGACAACUUGGGGGUGGGACCUCAGUCCCCGGGACGCGGUUAGCACCAGGGACAGGACCUGAGAGGGAGUACAGCAGCCAGAACUGGGACCCAAGCCUGGGAGGAGGGGCACUCACUCGAAGGUGAUCCUGUUCUCCAGCCGCACUUCCUGGUCCGCCAACACGGUGCAGUCCUGAUCCAGGACCAGAGCCUUCUGCGGAUGCCAGUCAGGGUCUCAGAGUCCCUCCCUCCGCACCCCUAACGAUCCCCAGGGUCCGAAGGAACCACCUCACUUCCACCCAUGGCCUCCACUGGGGAUCCCUACGGGUCAGAGGGAAAGGCGAUGGGCAGGUGAGCGAUAGCGAUGUGGAUGGAAUAAGACACCUGGCUGAGUCGGAGCCUAGCCAGGGAGAAGGGUGGCAAGAAGGUUGGACAGCCUUGGAAAAGAAACGGAGUUAUGGGAAACAUGGGGGUGGGAUGAGCACGAAAUGGUAAUGAGGCUGCUUGGAUACGGAGCAGGCUUAGGUCCUGGAUUAUGGAGCUGCCUCUUCUUGGGCCAGGCCAGUCCAGGACCCACUUCCUGGAUGGCUGCCCACUUUUGUCUCAGGCAUGUGAAAUCCAUGGAUGCAUUUCCUCCCUCACCACCCACCUUUGAUCAGCCACCCAGACCUUGUCCCUUUUUUGACACUUGUCCACUUCUCUCCAUCCCCACCUACUAAGGACACUUCUUGUCUCCUCACUGCAACAAGAGCUCUUCUCCCAGACCACUGUGAGGCCAGAAGGAUAUAAAGUAUCUGGCACAGUGCCUGGCACAUAGUAGCUGCCUCUUUCGUGAAGUCUUCCCGGAGCCAGCCAGAAAAGCUUACUUUUCCCUAGAAACUCUCUGAAGCUUCGGCUCCUCUUCCCUGAUCACAUCCUGCCUGGCUUACCGCCAGCCUGUGGACCUGGAGGACAGAGCUCAGAUUUACAAAUAGGAGGAAGGGGGCAUUCUCAAAGCUUGCCCAAACUCCCACCCUGACUCUUGUCUGUGGCCUCCGACCCUCACCCUUGCGGAAGGACUUGCGGAGCGGGCGGCCGCCAGAGCCCUCAGCAGAAGGCUGGUGCCCCAACUCCUCCACGCCCAGCGGCAGCGACUUCCCGGGCUUCAGCUUCGGUUUCUGCGGGUGGAGGAAAGGCGCUGGCUCAGGGCCGGACCCCAGCCUACGUGCAGACCGUGGACACAACCCUACAGAUCUGCGCCCGGCCCACUGCCUCCCACUGCCCCUCGUCCGCACCUUCCUGGUGGAGUCGGGGCUGCCGGGGCUGGAGGAGCCAGGUUCCCGCAGGGGGCGUCCCUCGGCCUCCGCCAGGAGACAUUCGCGGUACAGCGGGGACUUGACGAACCGCGCAUAGCUGUCGAACUUCAUCAAGUUGAAGAUCUGCGGGACCCGCGCCGGGGCGGUGAGCCGAAGGGGGCGCUCGACUUGCCCCCAGCUUACCUGGCCCUGUCCUCAAGGUUAGCUGGGUCCCCAACCUAGCAGCUGAGACCUUAGCCCCUCCCACGCAACUCCUUGAUCUAGCCCAGUGCCUACUCUUGGCCCCGCCUCGACCUCUGCUAGGCUCCACCGCCCCUAGACCCUGCUCCACCGUAGCCUCUGGUACCGCCCUCUGACCCGCGCCCUGCCCCUGCAUUUUACUUUGGUGCGGGCAUCCAAAUCCACAUUUGCUCCUCUCCGUAAGCAACUCCAACCCCAUCCCACCCCUGACAAUCGGGCUUCGCCCUUGGAUCUAGUCCCACCUCUUGUCCUUUCUUCCAAGGCCACUCCCCCUAAUCCCAAACCGAGGCCCCUGGGAACACUCACCUGGAGCUGCUGUUCCCGGAACAUGUCCGGUCGAGGCUCUGCCAGCACCUCCUCGCCUAGCCAAGCCUGCCGGUCUAUGUUCACUGGGCUCAGUGCCUGGCUGGACAGGAACUCCCGGUAGAUGUGGCGGGCCUCCUGAGCGAGCUGUUGCAGGAGGGACAGGUGAAGGUCAGGGGCAUGACCCAGGCUCUGGUCCCACCACUCUGCCCCAGCUCGUCUUUUCCCCACCUGCUGGGUGUCGCUGGCAGGGAUCUGCUGGAAGCGCUCACAGGCCUUCCAGAAAGUUACAUUCUCAGCACUGAACUCCUUCUUCAGGAACUCCUGGUGCACAGAAGGAAGAGGCAGGCAGAGACACAGAGACCCAGUCAGGGGAUGUGGUCAAAGAGAUUGGGAUAGAGAUAGGGCCAAGAGGCCAAAUCAGACAGAUAGGGCCAGACAGACAGAUGGGGCCAGAUCAGAAGGCACAGAGAGGAAAUGGGAGGCAGAGACAAGUUCCCUGCUGAGAGCAAAGGAAGAAGAUGCCAAAGAAAGGCUGGAUGAGGCAGCUGACACAGGAAUUCCACUCUGGCCAGCUUGAAGCUCCAUCCAUAUCCUCUCCCAUGCCGGCCACCCUACCCCCGCCCCCCACCUGGUGGCCACUGCCAUCUGCCCUCCCUAUCCCAUCCCAGGGCUUACAGUGAAAUAUGCCAGCCCCAGAGGGUCCUGCAGCAGCCGCUCAAAGGACAGGCCCCAGCUGGCCACAGGCUGCUCCUCGGUGGAGAAGGGGCUGCUGGGGCCACUGGGGAGGCUGUGGAUACUGAGAGAGCUUCCUCGGCCAUCACCCUGGCCCUGGGGCCCUGCUGUGCUGCUCAGCUCUGUAGGUGGAUAGACAAAUGGUGGUGAGCUUUGUGGCCUUCCCCAGCCCUUGGCCCAACCCCAUCAGUAGGUAUUUUCCCAGGAAAGAUACCAAGAGGUGUCCCCACCCUUUUCCACAUACCCUCCCCCACCCCAGUCAGGCCUCCUCUGUACCCUCUGUCACUUACCUCCAUCUGAGACAGCCAGAACCUACAAGAGACCCAAGGUAGAUAGUCAGAGCAGAGCCCGGGGUAGAUUCUCAAGGGACAGCUCUGGGCUCAGGCCCCAGGACUGGAGCUUGUUUUCCUCUCCCUGGGGGGCCAUGCUGGGCAUUCCCAGUGAGGUCACUGCUUGCUCAGCAUUUUGCUCAGGCUACUCCCGGCUCCCCUUCCAUCAUGUGCCAACCACUGUGUGCUGGAAUUUAUGCCAGUUACUUUCCAUUUGCCCCUGGUUCCCUCCUCCCUCAGCACUUGCUGGGUAAGCCCAGAUGUACAGCAUGGUGAGGAUCAGCACAGACUUUGAAUCUUGUCUCUGCCAUUUACUAGCUGAGUAACUCGUUACUUGUUUGUUUGCAUCUGUAAUAGGAGAUGGUGAUAAUAAUAGUAACUUACCUUCUGGGACUAUUGUGAGGAUCAAAUCAGUUUAAUACAUUUCCAGCACUGAGAACAGUGGCCAGCAUGUGGCAAGGGCUGUAUCAAUGUUUGCUGGUGUCUUUGAGGAAGGAAAGGUGUCUCUGUAGCCAGUGAUCUCUUUGUUGCAACUGUUUCCUCUUGGAGAGGAAGACCCUGAGAGACCAUGGGCCCCACCCCAUCUUGGGCUGGGAUCAGGAUGCAAUUUUAGAAUGUAAAGCAGUCAUUCUCAAACUCUAGUGUGUAUUAAAAUGACCAGUAGGAAACCACCUCCAGAGAUUCUGGCUCAGUAGGUCCAGGAUGGGGUCUGAGGCUCUCCAUUUCUAACAAAUUCUCAGGCAAUGCUGAUGCACUGGUCCAUGGACCACAUUUUGAGUAGCAUUGCUGCAGAGACCAACUUCAUCCUCUCCCCCCCCCACCCCCCACGUACAACUCUGACUUCUCUGGGAAUCCAACCAUUAGUGAAAUAGAAAAACUCUCCUUUCAAAAUGACUCUUGCAGUGGUUUCCCUUGGUCUUCCUACCUUCCUAGCAGCUCCUCCAGUUUCCUCCUCAUCUCCUACCCACACAAGAUGGCCUCCACCCCUCCCUGACUCUGCCUUUCCCUCUCCCACAUCUCCCCAGAUCCAAACCUACAUAGCCAACUUCCUGCUAACAUCUCUGCCCAAAUGUCCCACAAGCCCUUUGAACUCAGCCAGUCCCAAGGAGAAGCCAUCUCUGCUACUACCAGAGCAAGGCACCAAAACAGUUUCCCUACAUCCUGUCUUUCUUCCCACUACCUGGGCUCCUAGCACCAGGGCCCGAUCAUCCCCCCUUCCCUUUCUCUCUCUCACAUCCUCUUCCCACUAGUCCUGUCACAGGGACCACCUGUCCCUUUGUUACAUCCCUACUGGAAACAGGUCUACAAACAUCUCUCCCAGGAAGCCUCUCCCUGCCCUCCUAUCUGGGAUCUCCCUCUGUGCUCCCCAUUCUCACCUGGGAACACUCAGGUUCCAUAUCUGUGAGC
Molecule: long non-coding RNA, 5020 nt
Organism: Acinonyx jubatus (cheetah)
Lineage: Eukaryota; Metazoa; Chordata; Mammalia; Carnivora; Felidae
Exons: 3
Source: RefSeq, a predicted model, not a curated record